RNAcentral lists this unclassified non-coding RNA (200 nucleotides) under uncultured Thelephoraceae. RNAcentral describes it as "sequence contains ITS1". The record is from RNAcentral. Lineage: Eukaryota; Fungi; Basidiomycota; Agaricomycetes; Thelephorales; Thelephoraceae.
CCGAAUUGUCAACAAGAGUUGUUGCUGGUCCCUGUAUUGGGGCAUGUGCACACUCUGUUUACACAUCCACUCACACCUGUGCACCCUCUGUAGUUCUAUGGCCUGGGUAGGCUCUGUCCUCCGGCUGUGGUUCUACAUCUUUACACACACACUACGAUAAGGUCUUAUGGAAUGUAUGUCGCGUUUAACGCAAUGAAAUA